GUCCAGAAAUGAGGGACAGUGCUGACAAGGUGGUCAGCAUGGGUUGGAACUAUCCCCUGCGAGACCACUCCUCAAGGCAAGUCAUGGUAAACCAAAGAAGUUACCAAGAUCCUCAAGGUGGAAUCACUGACAUUGGAAACUACUGUCAAAAGAAAUCGAGGAAAACCACAGAAGAGAAUCCCAAGAAUGAAAGGACACCCUCUGUUGCUCAGACUUGGAACAAGGCGAGGAACAGCGCCGCAGCGACUGGGAGCCCCGUGGCCGCGACAUCAAGGCUCAGGCAGUCGCAGGGCCCCUGGGCGGCUCAGCGGAUUGAGCCUCUGACUUGUGCUUUGGGCCCAGGUCAUGACCCCGGGCCGUGGGAUCGCGCGACCGCAGGCUCCGAGCUCAGCGGGCUCUGCUCCGUGCUCUGUCCCUCGCUCUCUGCUCCUCCCUGCUUGCUCACUCUGUCUAAAAUAAGCAAAUAAAUCAAUCUUAGGAAAAACAGAAAACCUCAAGCAGCUGGAUAUGGA
RNAcentral lists this long non-coding RNA (512 nucleotides) under Mustela putorius furo (domestic ferret). RNAcentral's name for it is "lncRNA (ENSMPUG00000025363.1)". The record is from RNAcentral. Lineage: Eukaryota; Metazoa; Chordata; Mammalia; Carnivora; Mustelidae.